RNAcentral lists this unclassified non-coding RNA (363 nucleotides) under uncultured bacterium. RNAcentral describes it as "contains 16S-23S intergenic spacer region". The record is from RNAcentral.
UCCCCGUUGCCGAGGCAGUCUAGCUAGAAAAAUCCAACUAACUAUAAGGGUUGCGCUCGUUGAUGGACUUAACCAAACAUCUCACGACACGAGCUGACGACGGCCAUGCAACACCUGUCACUUGGUUCCAAAAGGCACUAACUACUUUCGUAGAAAUCCCAAGGAUGUCAAGUCCUGGUAAGGUUCUCCGUUUAGCAUCGAAUUAAAGAACACGAUCCACCGCUUGUGCGGGUCCCCGUCAAUUCCUUUAUGUUUUAGUCUUGCGACCGUACUCCACAGGCGGGAUACUUAACGCGUUAGCUUCGCUACAGAGGGGGUCGAUACCCCCUACAGCUAGUAUCCAUCGUUUACGGCGUGGACUAC